Long non-coding RNA from Carya illinoinensis, 599 nucleotides. RefSeq lists it as uncharacterized. The transcript is spliced from 2 exons. The record is from RefSeq and is a predicted model, not a curated record. NCBI's taxonomy places the organism in Eukaryota, Viridiplantae, Streptophyta, Magnoliopsida, Fagales, Juglandaceae.
UGUUGUAAAAUAUAUCCUAUAGAUAUCGUUCCUCAUGUGUAACGUUUACAAUAUCAAUUCUGCUAGGGACAGUCGGGAGAUACAAUCGACGUGUAGUUGUCUAAUAUAUUAUGCCACGUCAGUCGAGUUAUUAUAAAAAUUAAAUUAAAAAAAAAAAAAAAACCCAAGCAAAAUAGAAGGAGAAAUGUAGAUGUUGUCUUCUUUGUUGGUGGGUGUCUUCGUUCCCUCAUCGGUAGAAGCAAGGAUCAACUCCAGAAAACUCCAACAACAACAGUAAGGGAAAGCAAAGAUGAGGAGAAUCGCCUAAACGAAGACAACGACUAUGUGGAAAUUUUUUUUUUUUUAAUUUUUGCUUAUUUUUUUAUUUCCUAGAUGUAAAUCUGAGUGUUUAAUUUGUGUUGUUGUUCCAUUUAGUGAAAAUGUUUGCAAAGCUAGGACUUUUUUAUUUCUUGGAUUUAGAACUGCUUCUCGACUCUUGUUCGUCAGAAUCUAUUUUUUGUUGUUGGGUUUCUCAACUAGAUCUAUUUCUAUGCAAUUUCUAUUAUUGGAGUUGUUAAUGUAGAUAUAAGUUGAAGAAAAUUGUAAUCUCUUCAGUCCUC